AACGAACGCUGGCGGCAUGCCUAACACAUGCAAGUCGAACGAGACCUUCGGGUCUAGUGGCGCACGGGUGCGUAACGCGUGAGAACCUGCCCUUAGGUUCGGAAUAACUCCCCGAAAGGGGUGCUAAUACCGGAUAAUGUCUUCGGACCAAAGAUUUAUCGCCUUUGGACGGGCCCGCGUUGGAUUAGCUAGUUGGUAGGGUAAAAGCCUACCAAGGCGACGAUCCAUAGCUGGUCUGAGAGGAUGAUCAGCCACACUGGGACUGAGACACGGCCCAGACUCCUACGGGAGGCAGCAGUGGGGAAUAUUGGACAAUGGGCGAAAGCCUGAUCCAGCAAUGCCGCGUGAGUGAUGAAGGCCUUAGGGUUGUAAAGCUCUUUUACCCGGGAUGAUAAUGACAGUACCGGGAGAAUAAGCUCCGGCUAACUCCGUG
RNAcentral lists this ribosomal RNA (433 nucleotides) under uncultured bacterium. RNAcentral's name for it is "partial 16S ribosomal RNA". It matches the Rfam family "Bacterial small subunit ribosomal RNA", at positions 29 to 507 of the family's 1533-position model. The record is from RNAcentral.